This is a long non-coding RNA of Vidua chalybeata, 556 nucleotides long. RefSeq lists it as uncharacterized. NCBI's taxonomy places the organism in Eukaryota, Metazoa, Chordata, Aves, Passeriformes, Viduidae. The record is from RefSeq and is a predicted model, not a curated record. The transcript has 4 exons.
UAAAUAUUACUCAGUCCUGGUUUACACUGAAUGCCAUGCAUCCCAUCCCUAGCAAUAGGAUGGAUUAAUAAUUAAUGGAAAUUAACAGAAAUAAUUCUCACCUGAAUGUCAGGUGAUAAAAAGCAGCAAAAGCCCCUUUGGAAACCAGUUAGCUGUGCUAAUACUAGUGUAGAAUUUGAUUGGAGAAGCCUUACUUAAUUUUACUACUAGAAGAGGUAUUUAACCAAAAAAAAGGUGACUUCUAUUGCCUCGUGAGGUACAUACUACUGAGCUACCUGCCAAACAAUCUUUCUGCUUCAAGGCUAUGUCUUUUCAAGGAAUAUUUGUAUCUGGGCAUUUCAUUCUUUUUUCAAAAGCUGAUUGCCAACAGCACAGAUUGACUUGGCCCAGUAUCCAAGAUUCCUAUCACUGAAGAAACUGUACAUAUUCCCUAGUAUAAGCAAGAACACUGAAAACUGAAAGGAAGAUUCUUCUGGACAGAGUUUUAUAGUCAUCACUGACUUUCUCUGAAUAUAUAAGCCUAAUUUUCUGAAGUUUUAUGGAGAAAGAAAGCUUU